This 204-nucleotide unclassified non-coding RNA is filed under the name Hevea brasiliensis (rubber tree). Lineage: Eukaryota; Viridiplantae; Streptophyta; Magnoliopsida; Malpighiales; Euphorbiaceae. The record is from RNAcentral.
AUAUUUUUACCUGUUCUUCAGUGUUUUGUGCCACACAUUGCAAGUUUUGUUAGUUUUCUCAUUUUUUGCUUAAUCCAUAACUAAAAUUUCUUCUGAGUUUUUGUGAUAGUGGUGUUGUUUGUUGACUGUGUCAUGGCAUCUUCCUUCUUGUCCUUGUGUUUUUUUUUUCAACGAAAAAUUUGGAGCCAAGGCUGUUGAGUGGUG